Molecule: ribosomal RNA, 164 nt
Filed under: Muhlenbergia diversiglumis
Lineage: Eukaryota; Viridiplantae; Streptophyta; Magnoliopsida; Poales; Poaceae
Description: 5.8S ribosomal RNA
Rfam family: 5.8S ribosomal RNA
About the family: 5.8S ribosomal RNA (5.8S rRNA) is a component of the large subunit of the eukaryotic ribosome. It is transcribed by RNA polymerase I as part of the 45S precursor that also contains 18S and 28S rRNA. Functionally, it is thought that 5.8S rRNA may be involved in ribosome translocation.
Source: RNAcentral
CACAUGACUCUCGGCAACGGAUAUCUCGGCUCUCGCAUCGAUGAAGAACGUAGCGAAAUGCGAUACCUGGUGUGAAUUGCAGAAUCCCGUGAACCAUCGAGUUUUUGAACGCAAGUUGCGCCCGAAGCCUUCUGGUUGAGGGCACGUCUGCCUGGGCGUCACGC